CUCAGACUUUAGCAACUCAGACUUUCAAAGAAUGGAAUGGUGAGCCUUGAACAAGAAGUUUUGGGUUUACCGAUGACCCUGGGGUCUGAAAUCCACGUGUGGAUGCCCUUUCCAGAUGCAGCCAAGAUGCCACACGUUCCAGGAGAAGGAAGUGGGCAAGAUCACUGUGCGACUCCUCAGCCAAGCUCUGGACCUGGCUUGGACUCGGAAUGAGGAAUAUCCGCUAGUUCCCCUUGGGCAAUGUGCGGAUUAAGCCCAGGAGAGCUCUUCCUUCUUGUCACAAGAGCCCAUGGGCUCUACCCUGCAGCACAGCUGCCUCACUCAGGAGAGAGUGGAGGCUUUGCCAAACGGAUCUGGGAACAGGAAAUCAGUCCCAGGCGGGCAGCAUCGCCACUGCUACACACCUGGCGUCCUGUCACCGAGUUGUCCUUCUCUCUGGGAGUCAGCUUGAAGGUCAGUCGUCAAAGCAAAGGACACUACUUGAGUUACAUUAAAGGAGGAAGAGCCCCCUUGGUGGGACACCUCUCCUCACUGGCCUGGGCUCACUCAUGACUCAAGGUCUCCUGGAAAUAGCCAGAAAUAUGGGAUUUAUGAUCAGAUUGACCCAACCAAAAAGCAAAGGUUUACAGGCACAUUUACUCUCAGACUGUUUUCUACAAUUCACCCCAAGCUUUGGCUCCAUUCUGGCCUGGCAGCAAAUCACAGCAGCGGAGGAAAGCCUGGCCUGUGGGGCCCACGCACUGGAGUGUAGCUCAGUGCUCCUCCUGCAGGAAGCCCACCUGAAGGUGGAGCCUACAGGGAUCACCUCCAGGAUGAGAGUUUUUCGUAUGCCACAGUGAUGCUGCUGUCCUUAUGGAUCACAUGAAAGAAAAAAAACUUUGUUUUUGAGCUCUUGAAGAGUAGGAGUUGCUUCCCACAGUUCACAUUAAAAGGAGCACUUUUUCGGAGGGUGGUGAUUGGGUGUUAAGACUCUUAUUCUAAGCACCCAUGGGACGCCUCCUAGUAGCUCUGGGGAGGUGGACAGCGGUCCUGCAUGUGAGGGACGGGUGUGGGGAAGAAGCCCAGGCAGGCGGCCAGGUCUGCAGUGACAGCCAGGCUGUCUCCCAGGGAGAAAGCGUGAAGCACACAGCUCGUCCCCUCUCCUUCCUAGCCUGCAUCACUCACGGCUCCUUCACACAAGGUGUUUCACUUCCGUUUAUGGGCAGCCAUGGGGCACUUGACUUUCUGCACAUGGCCUAUUCUACUUAAAUGAACGUUCACCGUCUCCAGCCAUUUUGGUGGUUUUGCAUAUGAACCAAGUUAUUCUGUGCCCAGUAAACACACAUUAAAAUAGCACAGCUCACCCUAAAAUGGGCAUCUGUACUGGAUGGUAAUUAAAAGUUUAAAAACUUAAAAGUAAA
This is a long non-coding RNA of Cavia porcellus (domestic guinea pig), 1400 nucleotides long. RefSeq lists it as uncharacterized. Lineage: Eukaryota; Metazoa; Chordata; Mammalia; Rodentia; Caviidae. The transcript has 2 exons. The record is from RefSeq and is a predicted model, not a curated record.